GACUCUCACUGGCUGACCAGUGGAAGAGGUGGGCUCUCUAUGGAGAGCGAGCUUUAAGAGGAGCUGGCAGCAGCCAGCCAGGUACCCUGUCUCUGGAUUUCCUGAGAUCCUCUCUUUAGCCAUUCACUGUCAUCUCACAGAGGUGGAGAACAGGGUCAUAUUUUAUGAGUUAGACAAAGGAUGCCUGGUGAGUCAUCUGUUAACCUUGGGCAUUGUUCAGGCUGGUGGUGAUACAACCAUGAUGAACCUUCUACGGUGGAUAUCUACAUUCUUUCAUGGGAGGAACACAUCUGAAGAAACAUCACAGGAACCUCCUCUAGAUAACUCCAGGCUUAAGUCUAUUCAGGGAGUUGUGUCUUCUCUGUGUAAUGACUAUGGUUGGAUUAAUGAAUCCAUAUUCUUCAAUACGGAUGUAAUAAGUGACAACAUGCCUCUGAACAUCGGGACAAAUGUCCUUGCACUUGUGGAAAAAGAUGAAAGAACUCAUAUCCUGAGAGCAAUCAAGCUGUUUCAGCAUUCAGGCCUUUCAAGGGGGACUUGCUGCUGUUUGAGUAUUCCAUGAACCCAGACACUUCUAACAUCAAUGUCCACACUGUGAGCCCCCCUCAACUCUCAGGAUAUGGAUGAGGUCUGUGUUACUGGCAUUGAUGGAAGAAAUGGUGUGGUGGAAGCCAACAUCUUUUUCACCCUCGUUUCCUCUCCAUACUCUCCCUGGGUAUACACCUAGAUUGUAUGAUAUUGUGAACACUACUGUGGUAGACAGCAUCCAGUCCCACUACUCUCGCAGAGUGGUGUCUAUGACUCCAGUGGAUAUGUUGUAUUAACCCAUACUUUUGAAUCAUUUUUAACAUUACUUCUGGAUUCUAAUGCCUGGUUAAAUAAUAUAGUAUGAGUAAAGAACAUAAAUGUGUUUGAAGU
Long non-coding RNA from Mus musculus (house mouse), 918 nucleotides. RefSeq annotates it as predicted gene, 35536. The record is from RefSeq and is a predicted model, not a curated record. Lineage: Eukaryota; Metazoa; Chordata; Mammalia; Rodentia; Muridae. The transcript is spliced from 4 exons.